UAUCAAGAAAAGGUGUGUGAUGUACAUAUGUGAUGGAUCUCUGGUCCUCAAGGAUCCCAGAACUUUUGUGGAAUGAGUCUUGGAGAACUUCUGUCAAUGUACUUUGACAUUGUCACUGGAGAAGGACAGAAAGAGGCCUACCACAUACCUAUUCUACACCGAUGCCUCAGCCACAUCAUGAAAAAUGCAAAGGACCUUUGCCGGAAGCAUGCUUACAAACAGUACCACCUGGCUAUGCACGUCUUCGGGCUGAUGACACAAGCCACCACGCUCCAUGAGCUUGAUGACAUAGUCCGCAGCACUAAUGUGGUGUUCUCGAGCUCAUGCAGUGGACAGCAGGUUGAAAAACAUUUUCACAACCUGCAAAGACUUCUGACCCCCUGAAAUAGAUGAGAGAAAAAUAGAGGAGGAAAACUUGGUGAAGGAUGUGGGACCAACACUAUUCCAAAGGCACUUUGAUCUUGUCAUACAUGACGGAGUUCUGGACCAAAAUGGUGAACCAAAUGUGAACCUCUGCCCAACAUUUGUGCCUUCACUAGAGAGGUACUUUCUGCCCCACGCUGCUCUUUGGUCUAGUAUCAUGCUAGGUGACCUUAGCCGCCAUGGUAAAGGCCCUCUGUAUCUAACAAAAGAACGCAGGUCAUAACAGAACUUCAGAAAGGACAACCGUACCCAGGGGAUCAUGGAAAAGAGCCAGUGGGACCUGAAAAGGGUCCGUUUCCAACGACGCACUUUUACCAGGCUUGAUGACUUUGUCCACGCAUAUCGGCUGACACAUAAUGCCCUUUUAAAGGAGUACAAGGACUCUCUGCGUUCCAUUCAGAGGAAACACAGAGUUGACCUUGAAUGCUGGAAGCAGAGGAAGCACAAGCGAAGAGGAGUUUAUGUGACCCCUCUUUCAAAGGCAUUUGUUUUCAAGAGCCACAAAGCAAAGAGACUACUUCAAAAUGAGGAGGAUCUGCCACAGUAAAACAGACUGGGGGGACAUAAAACUGAAAGGGACUGUCAUGCACCACCCAGUCCAACAGGACAGCAGCAGUUGUGGUGUCAUAGUCACUAUGAACCGAUCAGAUCGAUCAGAACCUGCUGAAGACCUUUCAGUGUGGAUGGCAGCGGUCCAGAGGACCAGAGGCUGGGGUGCAGGACCUGAGGCCAGUGGAGCCAGGGAAUCAGACUGCAGCUCAACGGGAACAGGUGUCGGCCGCCGACGAGGAACCGGGAGCACAAGAGGAGGACAACUACAAAAUAAAACAGGAACUACAGGCAGUCCACAGAUGAUCCAACAGGAUGUAAAGAGUUCUGGUCCUGCUGCUGCUGUAUGAUCCGCUCCACUUUCUGUGGAGUCCCAG
This is a long non-coding RNA of Dicentrarchus labrax (European seabass), 1349 nucleotides long. RefSeq lists it as uncharacterized. The transcript is spliced from 9 exons. The record is from RefSeq and is a predicted model, not a curated record. Lineage: Eukaryota; Metazoa; Chordata; Actinopteri; Moronidae.